GACGAACGCUGGCGGCGUGCCUAAUACGUGCAAGUAGAACGCACAGUUUAUACCGUGGCUUGCUACACCAUAGACUGUGAGUUGCGAACGGGUGAGUAACGCGUAGGUAACCUGCCUGGUAGCGGGGGAUAACUAUUGGAAACGAUAGCUAAUACCGCAUAAUAUUAAUUAUUGCAUGAUAAUUAAGUGAAAGGUGCAAUUGCACCACUACCAGAUGGACCUGCGUUGUAUUAGCUAGUAGGGGAGGUAACGGCUCACCUAGGCGACGAUACAUAGCCGACCUGGGAGGGUGAUCGGCCACACUGGGACUGAGACACGGCCCAGACUCCUACGGGAGGCAGCAGUAGGGAAUCUUCGGCAAUGGACGAAAGUCUGACCGAGCAACGCCGCGUGAGUGAAGAAGGUUUUCGGAUCGUAAAGCUCUGUUGUAAGAGAAGAACGGGUGUGAGAGUGGAAAGUUCACACUGUGACGGUAUCUUACCAGAAAGGGACGGCUAACUACGUG
This 505-nucleotide ribosomal RNA is filed under the name uncultured bacterium. Its description in RNAcentral is "partial 16S ribosomal RNA". It matches the Rfam family "Bacterial small subunit ribosomal RNA", at positions 28 to 507 of the family's 1533-position model. The record is from RNAcentral.